AACGAACGCUGGCGGCAUGCCUAAUACAUGCAAGUCGAACGAUCUCUUCGGAGAUAGUGGCGCACGGGUGCGUAACGCGUGGGAAUCUGCCCUUGGGUUCGGAAUAACGUCGGGAAACUGACGCUAAUACCGGAUGAUGACGUAAGUCCAAAGAUUUAUCGCCCAGGGAUGAGCCCGCGUAGGAUUAGCUAGUUGGUUGGGUAAAGGCUGACCAAGGCGACGAUCCUUAGCUGGUCUGAGAGGAUGAUCAGCCACACUGGGACUGAGACACGGCCCAGACUCCUACGGGAGGCAGCAGUAGGGAAUAUUGGACAAUGGGGGCAACCCUGAUCCAGCAAUGCCGCGUGAGUGAUGAAGGCCUUAGGGUUGUAAAGCUCUUUUACCCGGGAUGAUAAUGACAGUACCGGGAGAAUAAGCCCCGACUAACUCCGUG
Molecule: ribosomal RNA, 433 nt
Filed under: uncultured bacterium
Lineage: Bacteria
Description: bacterial SSU rRNA
Rfam family: Bacterial small subunit ribosomal RNA
Source: RNAcentral